Molecule: small nuclear RNA, 141 nt
Organism: Triplophysa rosa
Lineage: Eukaryota; Metazoa; Chordata; Actinopteri; Cypriniformes; Nemacheilidae
Product: U4 spliceosomal RNA
Exons: 1
Source: RefSeq, a predicted model, not a curated record
AUCUUAACACUGUGGCAGUAUAGUAGCCCAUGAGGUUCAUCCAAGGUGUGAUUAUUGCUGGUUGAAAACAUUACCCAAUACCCCGCUAUGAUGACUUGAAAUAUAGUCAUCACUGGCAAUUAUUGACUGUCUUUGCAAAAC